GAUGAAGAACGUAGCGAAAUGCGAUACGUAGUGUGAAUUGCAGAAUUCAGUGAAUCAUCGAAUCUUUGAACGCACAUUGCACCUCUCGGUAUUCCGGGAGGUAUGCCUGUUCGAGCGUCAUUUGUACCCUCAAGCUCUGCUUGGUGUUGGGUGUUUGUUCCGCCUCUGUGUGUGAACUCGCCUCAAAACAAUUGGCAGCCGGCGUACUUGUUUCGGAGCGCAGCACAUUUUGCGAUCCAGAUCAACGUACAGCGGCAUCCAAGAAGCCUUAUUUAACGCUCUUGACCUCGGAUCAGGUAGGGAUACCCGCUGAACUUAAGCAUACAAUAAGCGGAGGA
Molecule: unclassified non-coding RNA, 338 nt
Filed under: soil metagenome
Description: partial contains 5.8S ribosomal RNA, internal transcribed spacer 2, and large subunit ribosomal RNA
Rfam family: 5.8S ribosomal RNA (bases 1-120)
Source: RNAcentral